UUUUGGAGGGCAAGUCUGGUGCCAGCAGCCGCGGUAAUUCCAGCUCCAAUAGCGUAUAUUAAAGUUGUUGCAGUUAAAAAGCUCGUAGUUGAAUUUCGGGGUUAGCAGGUCGGUCGUGCCAUCGGUAUGAACUGGCCUCGCUGAUUCCUACCUCUUGACGAACCGUGAUGCCAUUAAUUUGGUGUCGCAUGAAUCAGACCUUAUCC
Molecule: ribosomal RNA, 206 nt
Filed under: uncultured Glomus
Lineage: Eukaryota; Fungi; Glomeromycota; Glomeromycetes; Glomerales; Glomeraceae
Description: partial 18S ribosomal RNA
Rfam family: Eukaryotic small subunit ribosomal RNA
Source: RNAcentral